AAAGAAGAAGGGUAAAUCAAUUUUGGGAGCAUUAAGAGCUUCAAAUUGGUUGUUCAUGGUGGUUGGGGUAUUGAUGACAAUGACAAUCUUGUAAUUACUUGAAGAUGAUGAGGGUGAGAGAGUAAAAAUGUCAUUUCGAAAAAAAAAAAAAAAACUUGAUAGCUUUUUCGUGAAUUUUAUGAACUUGUGGGGUGAAUAUGACAAAACUAAUUUUCCAAAAAAAAAAUGUUAGUUUUGUGUUUGAAUUUGAGUUUUAGGUCGUAAAAAGCCGUU
This 273-nucleotide long non-coding RNA is filed under the name Brassica napus (rape). RNAcentral's name for it is "long non-coding RNA (BNAP_LNC024317)". The record is from RNAcentral. Lineage: Eukaryota; Viridiplantae; Streptophyta; Magnoliopsida; Brassicales; Brassicaceae.